RNAcentral lists this ribosomal RNA (274 nucleotides) under uncultured bacterium. RNAcentral's name for it is "partial 16S ribosomal RNA". It matches the Rfam family "Bacterial small subunit ribosomal RNA", at positions 523 to 796 of the family's 1533-position model. The record is from RNAcentral.
AUACGGAGGGUGCGAGCGUUGUUCGGAAUUACUGGGCGUAAAGGGCGCGCAGGCGGCUUGAUAAGUCAGAUGUGAAAGCCCACGGCUCAACCGUGGAAGUGCAUCUGAAACUGUCUGGCUUGAGUACUGGAGAGGAAAGUGGAAUUCCUGGUGUAGAGGUGAAAUUCGUAGAUAUCAGGAGGAACACCGGUGGCGAAGGCGACUUUCUGGACAGAUCCUGACGCUGAGGCGCGAAAGCGUGGGGAGCAAACAGGAUUAGAUACCCCGGUAGUCC